RNAcentral lists this transfer RNA (76 nucleotides) under Methanobacteriota archaeon. Its description in RNAcentral is "Euryarchaeota archaeon tRNA-Trp". It matches the Rfam family "tRNA". Rfam says of the family: Transfer RNA (tRNA) molecules are approximately 80 nucleotides in length. Their secondary structure includes four short double-helical elements and three loops (D, anti-codon, and T loops). Lineage: Archaea; Methanobacteriati; Methanobacteriota. The record is from RNAcentral. RNAcentral also lists the same sequence under 4 other names.
GGGGGUAUAGUAUAGCCCGGUAUUAUUACCGGCUCCAGACCGGUGGAGGGGGGUUCAAAUCCCUCUGCCCCCACCA